RNAcentral lists this unclassified non-coding RNA (383 nucleotides) under Hevea brasiliensis (rubber tree). Lineage: Eukaryota; Viridiplantae; Streptophyta; Magnoliopsida; Malpighiales; Euphorbiaceae. The record is from RNAcentral.
CCAGCCCAUGAGGAUCUACUCCAGCCUUUGGAACGCCGACGACUGGGCAACACAGGGCGGCCGGGUAAAGGCCGACUGGUCCAAGGCGCCAUUCACCGCCUCCUACAGGAACUUUAAUGCCCAGACUUCAAACGACAAGCCUGCUUCGAUGUCAUCGGGUGGUGCUUGGUAUAAUCAGGAGCUGGACUCUGCGAGCCACAAGAGGCUGAGGUGGGUGCAGAGGAACUUCAUGAUCUACAACUACUGCACUGACCGCCCUCGUUUCCCACAGGGUCUGCCAACUGAGUGCUCUGUAGCAUAAAGAUCUAUACAUGUACAUGGAGUGAUCAUUCUUUCAUUAUUUAUUUAUUUGUAAGGGGAGAAAAAUCUGUUCUCAACAGCCU